RNAcentral lists this ribosomal RNA (254 nucleotides) under uncultured bacterium. Its description in RNAcentral is "partial 16S ribosomal RNA". It matches the Rfam family "Bacterial small subunit ribosomal RNA", at positions 524 to 776 of the family's 1533-position model. The record is from RNAcentral.
UACGUAGGGGGGCUAGCGUUGUCCGGAAUCAUUGGGCGUAAAGAGCGUGUAGGCGGUCCGGUAAGUCCGCUGUGAAAGUCGGGGGCUCAACCCUCGAAUGCCGGUGGAUACUGUCGGGCUAGAGUGCGGAAGAGGCGAGUGGAAUUCCUGGUGUAGCGGUGAAAUGCGCAGAUAUCAGGAGGAACACCAAUUGCGAAGGCAGCUCGCUGGGACGGUACUGACGCUGAGACGCGAAAGCGUGGGGAGCAAACAGG